This 278-nucleotide long non-coding RNA is filed under the name Elaeis guineensis (African oil palm). RNAcentral's name for it is "long non-coding RNA (EGUI_LNC000547)". Lineage: Eukaryota; Viridiplantae; Streptophyta; Magnoliopsida; Arecales; Arecaceae. The record is from RNAcentral.
GUCUCUGGCUCAUGCAUCCGCAUCGAAUGACCCGAUUCCAUAUUGGGAUGUUGGUGGAAAAUAACUUAUGACUGUGCUUCUUCAUUGGUUGAGAAUGCUUGUAAUUCUAAUAAGAAAAUUUGUCAAUUAGAGAGGUCAUAUUUUUAUGCUCGAAGAUAAUUAAAACCAUCACGUAUGGAAUGAAAAGAUCUUACCAUGUGACAAUAUGAUUCAUGGUCCAACAUCUAAAUAGACUUGAUAGCUACAGUGCUCUUGGGAUGGAAUAAUAUACUAGUUCA